UAAAGGAAUACUCCAAGCACCAUAACCACUACAGUGAGCUGUAGUGGUUAUGGUGCCAGGAGUGCCCUGUUA
Molecule: microRNA precursor, 72 nt
Filed under: Pelobates cultripes (western spadefoot toad)
Lineage: Eukaryota; Metazoa; Chordata; Amphibia; Anura; Pelobatidae
Source: RNAcentral